CUCUUCUCUUUCUUCACCCCCCCACCAAAUCUUCAUUAUAAAUAAACCCUAAUUUCUCUUCUUCCUCUCCUCAUCAUGGCACUGUUCAAUAACUUCCUCUUUAACCCCUUUCUCUCUUCCCAUUUCCUCCUUCUCCCUCCUCCAAUGGCUCACCCCUUUCCCCUUCUCACAAACCCUACACCUCUACCCUUCUUUUGAUUCUUCUCCUGGCGAUUUACAAAGGGGAGAAGAAAGAGUUGAAGGGUUGCAAAAAUGCACCACCGAUCACUUCGUUCACCGUCUCUUCCAAAUCCCCAAUCGCCACCACCACCGUUUUAUUCACCUUCUCUUCCAAAUUCCUAGUCACCAUUGCUUCGUUCAGUUUGACAACUUCCAAACCAACGACGCCUCCAUUUUCAUUCAUUCCCUCAUCCUCUUUGCCCUAAUUUCCCACUUCACCUUCGCCAUUCAACUUCACAUCUACAUCUGAUCAUCGCAAAGUUGAACCUAAAUUCUUCGUCUAUUUCCAAUUUUCAGGUACAUUCACUAUGUUUAUUCUUUCGAUUUCGCUUUCUGAUUCUUUACAUUCUGUUUCAUUAGCUAAUAUUUUUUAUUUCAUUUUUGCGAGGUUUUACUAAUUUCCUUCUUGACGAAUAGGGUUGUUACGUUGCAGAUUUCAAGAUCUUGUUGAUUCUUUGGGUGAAAUUUUGUUGAUUCAUACGCAAUAAACUUAGUAUUUUAAUUUUUCUGGUUAUGAAUGUGCUACACUAUAAUUGCUUGCUUGCUUAAUCAUGGUUCAUACAUCUUCUGACGAUUUUGUGCGUCAGGAGAUCCUCAUUUUCUUGUAGUGAUAGUAUUGAAAUUUAUGUCUUAAAACUGGUAGAUAAAACAUAUAAUUCAUUAACCGUUAUUAAUUAAUAAAGUGUUAUUAUUGUAACUUCAAUAAA
Cucumis sativus (cucumber) is the source of this 926-nucleotide long non-coding RNA. RefSeq lists it as uncharacterized. NCBI's taxonomy places the organism in Eukaryota, Viridiplantae, Streptophyta, Magnoliopsida, Cucurbitales, Cucurbitaceae. The record is from RefSeq and is a predicted model, not a curated record. The transcript has 2 exons.